GCGCUGAGUGGGGAGAUAGCGGUGCCCUGUACUUGCAAUCCGCUACAGCAAGGCUGAUCGUUCCCCUCGGCUUGUCGUAUGGUUGGCUGCGUGAGGUAAGGCGUGAUGAUGUCAAGGUCUUAUGCAACGCAAAGCCGCGAACCGCGUCAGGAUAGGGAUAUAGCAGCGCUAAACGGUCGAUUGCGUGUGCCAUGAGGUUGCUUUGACGGAGCGACCUGCCGCAU
This 224-nucleotide signal recognition particle RNA is filed under the name human gut metagenome. RNAcentral describes it as "Bacterial large signal recognition particle RNA". It matches the Rfam family "Bacterial large signal recognition particle RNA", at positions 3 to 224 of the family's 256-position model. From Rfam's summary of the family: The signal recognition particle (SRP) is a universally conserved ribonucleoprotein involved in the co-translational targeting of proteins to membranes. The record is from RNAcentral.